This 279-nucleotide ribosomal RNA is filed under the name uncultured bacterium. RNAcentral describes it as "partial 16S ribosomal RNA". It matches the Rfam family "Bacterial small subunit ribosomal RNA", at positions 335 to 605 of the family's 1533-position model. The record is from RNAcentral.
ACUCCUACGGGAGGCAGCAGUGGGGAAUAUUGCACAAUGGGGGAACCCGUAGAUGCAGCCAUGCCGCGUGUGUGAAGAAGGCCUUCGGGUUGUAAAGCACUUUCAGUUGUGAGGAAGGUGGUGUCGUUAAUAGCGGGAUCAUUUGACGUUAGCAACAGAAGAAGCACCGGCUAACUCCGUGCCAGCAGCCGCGGUAAUACGGAGGGUGCGAGCGUUAAUCGGAAUUACUGGGCGUAAAGCGCAUGCAGGUGGUUUGUUAAGUCAGAUGUGAAAGCCGGC